CCUCAUCCUUAUCCACUCCCGCUACACACGCCCAAUCAGCCUCUCGCUCCCUCAUCCCUAUCCCCGACGCAGCACCCUCCCCCACACCCCGACGAGGCUCGCGAUGCGCUUCCACCCCUGGCACGACGCCCUCCCUCACCCGUGGCGAAGCGCGCGGCGCCCUCUCCACCCUCGGUGCAGCGCCCUCCCCCACACCAGGACGAGGUGAGGCACAGUGGUGAAAAGCGCGGCGUCCUCCCCCACACCGGUGUCCCCUCGGCUGCUUUCCUCCACCAUGGCGUACUCUCCUACCAGGAUCCCCCAACCUAGCGCGACACUCUCCCCACCUCGGUACAGCAUCAUCCCCAUCCUCUGGUGGCACUCUCUCACCCCCGGUGACUGAGCUCCUCUCACCCGACAGCCAUGACGCUCCCAGUGCUAGGAUCUCUUCCCCACCCUAUGUUGCAAUUGUAUGUUUCAAUUGUUUCAGAAGGUCUAGAGGUAUGUUUCAGUGAAAUCUAUAUAUAGAUGUUGCAAAAGUAAAUCGGGGCAUGUUGCAUAUGUUGUAAUUAUUUUCAAGGGAAUGUUGCAAUAGCAUGUUUCAAAUGUUUCAGAUGUAUAAGAGGUAUGCUUCAUGUGUGUUUUCUGGAUGCACGUUGAUGUUGUGUUUAUGUGGAUGUUGCAGUGUUUUAUUCGGAUAUUGUGUAUUGUUGCAAUGGCUUUCAAGUGUGUUUCAUAUGUGUUUCACAAAUAUAUUUUAAGUGUUUCAUCUACCUUGAAAAGUAUGUUGCAAUUGUUCAAUCUCCAUGUUUCAAAAGUAGUUCGGAGGUGUUUGUACAUGUUGCAAUGGCGUCGGUGACUGGCGAACAAUAGCUUGUUGCAGGGCUUUUGGCUCCUACCUCAUGCGGCGCACCUCACCCUCUCCUCUCCUUCCCCCUUCCCUUCUCUUCAUUUUUCCGCAACAGUUUGAGCUUAUCCUUGAUGUGGCGUUCAGUGCUUCUUCAGCGAGAUGGGAUGCGAGCGGCGGUGCUGCAUCCGUACGCAGGGCACUGCGUGUGAUGGACGCUGGUGGGGCAUGCUAGUGCGGGAUGAAGCCCAUCUUCAUAUUUGCGGGCAGGGCGUCCAGACGCGUGCUGUCCGCCGGACGUCCGUGCGCUAUAUACUCCCCAGGCUAAUGGGACCUAGCACGGCCGCACACUCCGUAUGAGAUCCGGACAGCCCGACAUCUACAAUGACAACUAAUGAGUGUUUAUAAUACAUGUUUUAGUGAGUACAUUAUAUAUUCCUUUAAUAGCAUGACAUGUCUGAUAAACAAAAUUAAAAUAUGAAAGAAUUAAACUCUAGGUAAUAACUUUAAAUAUCAUAAUUUCAAUCUAAAUAAUUUUAGAGCUGAGGUCAUCGGUAUAUAUCAGCAUGCAGUUCAUCUCAAUUAAUCAUUAAUCACCUUGUCAUUACAACUCACAAAAAUCCAAGGGCUAGCUAGAUGGCUAGAUGCACCUUUACAAGUCUUUUUUUUUUUUAUCUUUUUCUUGGUAUGCAUGGCAAAUUACAAGUUACAAUGUGGUGUUACUAUGUUGCAAUAGCUUCAACAAGCUAACUAUAUUGUAUCUUGAUUUUUUAACCAUAACGAAGCGCUAGAAUAUGUUCAUGUACAAUAAAAAAUGUGCAAAACUAGUCCCCAGAUCAUGUGGUUGGUGCAUGUUGUAGCCCUGAGCAAGGUCAUGGAUAAUUAUAGUCUUGAAAGAAUAAGUGGGGUUGGACGCCCUAUUUGGAUCAUAUUAAGUCUCUAUCCACUUUUGCAGUUAUUAAGUAAGAGCAAUAGACCGAUUUAAAUUAUUUUGAGAUUUGUAUUUUGCUGUCAUGAUUCUAACACAAGAGGCGUGAGUCGAGCUUAACCUGCCAUCAUAGUGGGCUUGAGCCAGGUUUGUUUUCAUCGUGCUAAAUGUAGAAAUUAAGUAAUAUAUCAUUUUAUAUACUGAAAAGAAAUAGACACUACACAAGACACCAUUUUCAAAAAAAAAAAAGAUUAGUCACCUCUUUAGAUAAUCCGCUUGAAAAAAAAGUCUAAGUUGACCAACUAAUGCAUUAUAAAGAUGUGGUGCAAUGAGAUGGACUUAACCUAAUUUCUAGGAAUGGAACAAUCCAUGAUCUUUGUUUGGGUGAGGGUGGAAUGAUUCUUGUUAUCUUUUUUUAUUUAGUUCAUGAACCCAAAAUUUUAGAUCACACACCUUAUAUGUGGGGCUAGUGUUGACCUAUUAGUCUUUAUAUUUUGAUGUUCUACCAUCUGUCUCCUCGUUUGGUUCUUUCUUCGUCCAAGAUCAUGGUCAUAGGCAUCACCCCUGCGCGCCCGCUGCCCUCGAGGCCACGCUUGGUGCAUGACUCAGAUGCCAGUGCCUUAAACUCUCCUCAUGUCUGCCACCCUCGGCUCUCAACGCGUGCCAUCGCCGCCCUUGGUCUAUGCUUGGUGCGGGCCUCGAAUGUUGGCACCCUCCUAUCUACGCAAUCGCCGCCCUGACUAUCCAUGUGUAGCCAAUGCAGAGCUCGCCCAUUGUUGUGCUCACUUCCACGGGUUUGACUAGUCUCAGCAGGUAUGUGACGUGUCCUUCUCUCCUCCCCCACGCACUCACGCGAACGACUCCUCUAUCUCCAUCCCCUCGAUUCAUAGGGACCACGAAGGACGACAUAUAUUCUACUUAGAACCGUCUUGUCCCCUAUUGCCUCGGAGCCAAACACCACAAAAGACGUACUCACCCAUCCCAUUCUCUAUUAUCCCAAAACCAAACACAUGCUAAUUGAAUCAACGACCAUCAGUUUAGGUAUGUCCAUAAGUUUUGAUUCCAAACCUGAUUUAGAAAAAAACAAACUCUCACACAAUAUGAAAAAAUGGACUAAAUUCGAGAUACUAUAGGCCUGCUUGGUUGGGUUUCAAAACUUGCCCAACCAAAAUAAUGGCAAGCCAAAAUUAAGGCUUGUCAAAGUUAGGGCAACAAAUGUAAAGACGCAAUUGGUUGAGUGCCAUGACAUAGUAGUGAGCUUUUUUCCUUUUAUGAGAUUGAAGAAAUUUAGUUUUGCCAUGAUUUUAGCCAUAAAAAUUGAUUUACCAAUUUUUUGUAACUAGAUAUAUAUGUCCAUGCAAUGCACCAGGGUCACAACGUUUUGCAGUGAGAUUCGAGGACUUCAUAUUGGAUGGUGGAUGUGUGGAUCCGGUCUUCGGACCAGAAUCAAAUAGGACAUGGAUGUGUGAGCUUCGAUAAAAAUAGAAUUCGCGUCGGACGCAGAUAUGUGAGUACGAGGAUCAAAAUUUUGUCUUCUAUAUAAAAAAAGAUCAAGAUUUGAUAUUAUUGGGUAGAUGAUGACUUUAGAGUCUUUUUAGGUGUAGAUUGAUAAUAUUAUAUAAUUAUAAUUAUAUUAUUUAUAUUAUAUAGAUAGAUAGAUAGAAAAAAUAUAUUAGAUUGGAUUAGAUAAGAUAAGAUUAGAUAGAGAUAGAGAUGGACCAAUCAAUAGCUAGAUUUUAAAGGUAUAUGCCUUAGAGCAUCUUCAACACUCCCAAAAAUAAUAUGGAGAGAAAAAAAAGAUUCCAUUUCCAACAGUUUGUCAAAAACCCAAAAACUCGCUAACGAAAGGAAGAGCCCCACUACGUGAACAAAGAGCCCCACUAAGCGAACGGAGCCCCGCUAAGCAUGAGAAGAAAGACCGAUACCAAGCAUGGAGCUCGCGCGCAUAUUUACGUGCUAGACAAGCAUAUAUGUCAAGUUAGAAAAUAUGGAGAAUUGGGUUUCCAAACAGUUGGAGAAGUUUUUUUUUUCUUAUUUUGCUAAAAAAAUUAUGGAUGGGAAGUCAUUUUAUGGGUGUUUAGAUCCCCAUAAAACACAAAAUGUAAAAUGCUAACUAUUUUGGAAUGAUGGAAUACAA
This 3891-nucleotide long non-coding RNA is filed under the name Sorghum bicolor (sorghum). Its description in RNAcentral is "long non-coding RNA (SBIC_LNC007443)". Lineage: Eukaryota; Viridiplantae; Streptophyta; Magnoliopsida; Poales; Poaceae. The record is from RNAcentral.